AGCGAACGCUGGCGGCAGGCUUAACACAUGCAAGUCGAGCGGGCAUCCUUGUGGUGUCAGCGGCAGACGGGUGAGUCACGCGUGGGAACGUGCCCUUCGGUUCGGAAUAACUCAGGGAAACUUGAGCUAAUACCGGAUACGUGCGAGAGCAGAAAGGUUUAUCUGCCGAAGGAUCGGCGCGCGUCUGAUUAGCUAGUUGGUGAGGUUAUGGCUCACCAAGGCGACGAUCAGUAGCUGGUCUGAGAGGCUGAUCAGCCACACUGGGACUGAGACACAGCCCAGACUCCUACGGGAGGCAGCAGAGGGUAAUGUUGGACAAUGGCGGCAAUCCUGAUCCAGCCCUGCCGCGUGAGUGAUGUCGGCCUUAGGGUUGUAAAGCUCUGUUCACCGGGACGAUAAUGACGGUACCGGAGCAAUAAGCCCCGGCUAACUACGUG
RNAcentral lists this ribosomal RNA (437 nucleotides) under uncultured bacterium. RNAcentral describes it as "partial 16S ribosomal RNA". It matches the Rfam family "Bacterial small subunit ribosomal RNA", at positions 29 to 507 of the family's 1533-position model. The record is from RNAcentral.